CCUUGACCUCAAAUCGGGUGAGACUACCCGCUGAACUUAAGCAUAUCAAUAAGCGGAGGAAAGAACUAACAAGGAUUCCCCUAGUAACUGCGAGUGAAGCGGGAAAAGCUCAAAUUUAAAAUCUGGUGGCCCUUUUGCCAUCCGAGUUGUAAUUUAGAGAAGCGUCUUCCGCGCUGGACCAUGCAUAAGUCUCCUGGAAUGGAGCGUCAUAGAGGGUGAGAAUCCCGUCUUUGGCAUGGAACCCCAGGGCUUCUGUGAUGCGCUCUCGAAGAGUCGAGUUGUUUGGGAAUGCAGCUCAAAAUGGGUGGUGAACUCCAUCUAAAGCUAAAUAUUGGCGAGAGACCGAUAGCGAACAAGUACCGUGAGGGAAAGAUGAAAAGCACUUUGGAAAGAGAGUGAAACAGUACGUGAAAUUGUUGAAAGGGAAACGCUUGAAGUCAGUCGCAUCGACCGAGACUCAGCCUUGCCUUGGCUUGGUGUACUUCUCGGCUGAUGGGUCAGCAUCGAUUUCGACCCUCAGAUAAUGGUGGAGGAAAGGUGGCACCUUCACGGGUGUGUUAUAGUCCUCUAUCGGAUGUGGGGGUUGGGAUCGAGGAACUCAGCAUGCGCCUCUCGGUGUCGGGGCCUCGGCCCACGUCUACAUGCUUAGGAUGCUGGCGUAAUGGCUUUAACGACCCGUCUGGAAACACGGACCA
This 695-nucleotide ribosomal RNA is filed under the name uncultured Russula. RNAcentral describes it as "eukaryotic LSU rRNA". It matches the Rfam family "Eukaryotic large subunit ribosomal RNA", at positions 1 to 668 of the family's 3401-position model. Lineage: Eukaryota; Fungi; Basidiomycota; Agaricomycetes; Russulales; Russulaceae. The record is from RNAcentral.